CUACUGCCUAUGCACUCCUUGAAGGCAGGAAAAGCCUCUUUCUCAUCUGUGGCCUGGAGGGUGAUAUGGAUUCUUGAAGGCUCUGCCGCUGGGACACGAUCUCUGUAAGGUCCUACCAAAUUGGAAAGACUAUUCCAGGGAUGGAUGAGCCUUGAUGAGUGUUAAUAACUUCUUACGGUAAUUUAUUUUUCAGCUCCCCGAGACCAUCUAACAAGGUUGGAAGGGUGUGCAUUGGUAAGGUGAGUGCCCAACCCAAACCGGAGAGGAGACUGGCAAGGACUGGCUUCGUGCCAGGGCAUCCCCUGAAGCUGAGGAUGCAGGCUCAGCAGGAGGCAUAGUUGUGGUUUUCCGCACGUGCCUCAGCUGGAGGAACUAGAGGAAACAAACCAACACCAGAGGGGCGAGGUUAUCUUGGGCAACACCUUCCUCGCCUCUCCCCUGGGCCAGAAGAACUCGGCGGGGGUGGUUUCCUUUUUUUUUUUUUUUUUGGUGCCUCCUGCAGGCCUGGAACCUUAGUUGUCGGAGUCUUAGUUUCCCCGGGUUGCUGGAGGGAAGGCUUUAAGAGGGGGACCGAGGCUGGCAGAUUGUAAACAGGCAGCGGAGGUUCGGGGAGCGGCGCCGGCUCACGGCUGUCAUCGCGGGAGGACGCGGAGGACGAGCGGAACGAGUAGGGCGGCGAGCCCUGCCUCACCUGCGGGGUGGGGGGUGGGAAAUAAAGUUUCCUGUGGACAACUAGCCAGACCAGUUCCUGACUUGGGAAACGUCAUCUCAAAGGAGCACUUCUCCCCUGCCUUCCCAAGAAGUGAAGUCUAUGAGAAGCCGAUACUGCUAGAGAGUGCUUUGUAAUGACCAGAAGAGUUCCAGCAGUGCUUGUGCCUUCUCUCCUGCAUCUGACUAAAUGAAGGCACUUUCUCUAUUCCCAGAACUGCUUUCUUGAAGGACCUUGUCUCUUUGGUGUUAGAAUAUUCAUGAAAUCUUCCCCUCACCCAGUUCAGGACGCUUGAG
RNAcentral lists this long non-coding RNA (1005 nucleotides) under Phascolarctos cinereus (koala). RNAcentral describes it as "lncRNA (ENSPCIG00000035196.1)". Lineage: Eukaryota; Metazoa; Chordata; Mammalia; Diprotodontia; Phascolarctidae. The record is from RNAcentral.